Molecule: non-coding RNA, 105 nt
Organism: Canis lupus familiaris (dog)
Lineage: Eukaryota; Metazoa; Chordata; Mammalia; Carnivora; Canidae
Source: Rfam
AGGAGCAACAGUCCCAGUGGCGGGGCCAGCUCUGGAAACCUGGAUUCAGCUCCGGCAGGAACUCCAGAGCUCUCCGUCUGCAGGGCCUGGAGGCUCCGGGGUGGG